RNAcentral lists this small nuclear RNA (176 nucleotides) under Fukomys damarensis (Damara mole-rat). Its description in RNAcentral is "U2 spliceosomal RNA". It matches the Rfam family "U2 spliceosomal RNA". Rfam says of the family: U2 is a small nuclear RNA (snRNA) component of the spliceosome (involved in pre-mRNA splicing). Complementary binding between U2 snRNA (in an area lying towards the 5' end but 3' to hairpin I) and the branchpoint sequence (BPS) of the intron results the bulging out of an unpaired adenosine, on the BPS, which initiates a nucleophilic attack at the intronic 5' splice site, thus starting the first of two transesterification reactions that mediate splicing. The record is from Rfam by way of RNAcentral. Lineage: Eukaryota; Metazoa; Chordata; Mammalia; Rodentia; Bathyergidae.
AUCACUUCUCGGCCUUUUGGCUAAGAUCAAGUAUAGUAAUCUUUCAGUUUAUGCUUGAAUGUGGUUGUUUUUUUCCUGCCAUUUUUGUUGUUUGUUUGUUUGUUUUGAGACAAGGUCUCAGUAUAUAGUUCAGACUGCCCUGAACUCACUAUGUAGCCCAGGUUGGUCUCAAACUC